GUUUGCUUUUUUUUUUUGAAAUUUUGAAUUUUUUUUUUUUGUUUUUUGUUUUUUUUUUUUGAAAAGAGGUGUAUUAAAAAGACCACUUGUUCAAACAAUCGUACGUUCAAUUGAUUAUUUUAUUUUUAUUUAAGUUGAAUUGGAUGAAGAUUAGCUUGGGUAAAAACAAAAAAAGAAAAAAAACAGUUUAAAAUCGUUUGUGUU
This 204-nucleotide non-coding RNA is filed under the name Ctenophora environmental sample. The record is from RNAcentral. Lineage: Eukaryota; Metazoa; Ctenophora.